CCCGCUGAACUUAAGCAUAUCAAUAAGCGGAGGAAAAGAAACUAACAAGGAUUCCCCUAGUAACGGCGAGUGAAGCGGGAUGAGCUCAAAUUUAAAAUCUGGCUGGUUUACUAGUCCGAAUUGUAGUUUAAAGAAGCGUUUUCGGUGGCAGCCUGGGUAUAAAUCCUUUGGAAUAGGGUAUCAUAGAGGGUGAGAAUCCCGUCUUUGACUCAGUGCAUGCUACUAUGUGAUACGUUUUCAAAGAGUCGAGUUGUUUGGGAAUGCAGCUCAAAAUGGGUGGUAAAUUUCAUCUAAAGCUAAAUAUUGGCGAGAGACCGAUAGCGAACAAGUACCGUGAGGGAAAGAUGAAAAGAACUUUGAAAAGAGAGUUAAACAGUGCGUGAAAUUGUUGAAAGGGAAACGUUUGACACCAGUCAUGCGAGUGGAAAAUCAGUCUUUUGGGGCGAGGAGUGGUAGGAGUUUAGACCGCAAGGCUAGCUUUUGUCUCAUCUUUGUUCUAAAGGAUGCACUUUUUCAUUUGCAGGUCAACAUCAGUUUCUUCUGCUGGACAAAACUCUGAGAGAAGGUAGCAGCUUAGGCUGUGUUAUAGCUCUGGAGCGAUACAGUGGAGGGGACUGAGGUUUUCGCAGUGUGUGCUUUCGGGCAAGGUCGACUGGGUGCUAUGUGAUCGUUCGGUGUACAAUGCAUGCAUUUUGCGCUGUGUCUUUUGCAUACUCGCUUGAAUCGACUCUUCCACGCUUAGGAUGUUGACUUAAUGGUUUUAAACGACCCGUCUUGAAACACGG
RNAcentral lists this ribosomal RNA (785 nucleotides) under uncultured fungus. Its description in RNAcentral is "eukaryotic LSU rRNA". It matches the Rfam family "Eukaryotic large subunit ribosomal RNA", at positions 24 to 664 of the family's 3401-position model. Lineage: Eukaryota; Fungi. The record is from RNAcentral.